GCUGCAAGUUUUGAGGCCAUAGAAGAAGCACUCACAGUAUAGCCCUGCUAGAUUCCAAUGAAUCUGCAAAUUCUGCU
Molecule: ribozyme, 77 nt
Filed under: Crocodylus porosus (Australian saltwater crocodile)
Lineage: Eukaryota; Metazoa; Chordata; Crocodylia; Crocodylidae
Description: Mammalian CPEB3 ribozyme (ENSCPRG00005016573.1)
Rfam family: Mammalian CPEB3 ribozyme
About the family: The mammalian CPEB3 ribozyme is a self cleaving RNA located in the second intron of the CPEB3 gene which belongs to a family of genes regulating messenger RNA polyadenylation. This ribozyme is highly conserved and found only in mammals.
Source: Rfam by way of RNAcentral